GACGAACGCUGGCGGCGCGCCUAACACAUGCAAGUCGAGCGAUGAAAUUUUAACCGAUCUCUUCGAAGAGAAGAUAAAAUGGAUUAGCGGCGGACGGGUGAGUAACACGUGAGAAACCUGCCUUUCACAAGGGGAUAGCCUCGGGAAACCGGGAUUAAUACCCUAUGACACAUUUCCUUCGCAUGGAAGAAAUGUUAAAACUCCGGUGGUGAAAGAUGGUCUCGCGCCUGAUUAGCUAGUUGGUGGGGUAACGGCCCACCAAGGCCAUGAUCAGUAACCGGCCUGAGAGGGUGAACGGUCACAUUGGAACUGAGACACGGUCCAAACUCCUACGGGAGGCAGCAGUGGGGAAUAUUGCACAAUGGAGGAAACUCUGAUGCAGCGACGCCGCGUGAGCGAUGAAGGCUUUCGAGUCGUAAAGCUCUGUCCUAUGGGAAGAUAAUGACGGUACCAUAGGAGGAAGCCCCGGCUAACUACGUG
Molecule: ribosomal RNA, 480 nt
Filed under: uncultured bacterium
Lineage: Bacteria
Description: partial 16S ribosomal RNA
Rfam family: Bacterial small subunit ribosomal RNA
Source: RNAcentral